AGCUCAAGGGUUUUCAGCUUGGAAGAUAUAUGUGGCUCUAAGUCAAUAGAUAUUAUGACUAAUACUACUGUACCUGUGUGGGCUGAAUGAAUGGAAAGAGAAAAAGUUCCCUUGUUAGUCCCCCUCCCCUGGGGGAUCAGUGUUGUUCCACAACGCCUGGGGAGCUAGCCUGGAGUGCCUUGCUCAGGGACACACCUGCUGCUAGGGUCGGGGAUCAAGCCAGGGAUUUUCUGCUUCCCAGGCUGAUGCUCUACCUACUGAAUAAAGGGAUGCUCUUGGGAGACAUCUACUGUCCAACAUCAAGCAUCACUAAAGUCUCCUUUCUUCAGUACUCUUUGACAAGCAGGACAACUUUGGAAAUGCGCAUUAGCCUGAAACCACAUCCGGACAUUCGUAGUGUGUUUGGGCUCCAUUAGAUGGCAGCAGCAUCCAAGUGAUAGCUGUGUGAGGCAGUUUGCCUCUGCAGCAGGACAUUCCUGCAUAGUUUGCACUGUUUACUUAACUUCAUGUUACUUAAAAUAUUCACAAAUACAUGACAAGUCAAGGCCCUACAUCCAUCAAUGUGUAAUAGUUAUGUGACAUCGGCCUCACAGUAAGUGUGGAGAUGAAACAUCAGCUCCCAUUGGCUCCUCUAAUGUGGGGUCCAGUAUAAUCAAAUUGGCUGGUGAUAGUGUGUAAAUGUGUGUUGUUUCUACAGUAAUUAUGUCAAAAAAUACAAAAAGUUCCACGAAUCCCUCACUGCUUCAGCUCAUUUAAAGUUACAGACUCCUCCAAUUUGCCAAAAUUUAGUAGAAGUGUUCCUUUAAGUUUAGCUUAGCCCAAUUAGCAGCAACAGAACAGACCCUAAACCCACAGAAUGAGACGUCCGUGUUUUUCCGUCUAGUUUGAGGAGAGCUACUCUCCCAGGAACCCGCGACCUUUGUGGCCUUUGAUGCAUAUGCCAUGUGGGUGUGGGAGCUGGACUUGACUGCUUCAGGCCUGAGUAAAUACUGUCGUCAUUCCAGGCAUGGCUGUGAAUAGUGGAGGAAGGAAACGUCUGUAAUCAGGGUAACACUGUUUCCCACAGCUGGGCCAGGGAGCAAAUCAGCUGCAGGGAGAUGAAUAUACGUAGGAUGCAUAUUGACCCAACAUUAAAAACUUAAUACUUAACUUAAUUGGACUCAAUUGUUGAGUCCAAGAAGCCUCAAAUACACUAAUUCUCAAUAGGAACAUCUGCUACUGCAACUACAGAACGAAGACUCCUUCAUGUGUUGUACAUUUAAAAAACAACUCCACAUUUAUGGAGCAGUUAAUACUUCCCUUGUGGUCUGGACUCUGUUCUUGCAGGCGGUCCCCCGAGGCUCAGGCCAUAGUUACAGUGUUUUUGUUACCUGUUAUUCCAGUGAACAAAUGUUUCUUCUGCUCCUUUUCUAGGGUGCUGUGCGUACAUGCGCUGCUCGCCUGGGCUCGCGUUUACGUUUGAUGGCUUUUCUGGCACGUCACACGCUCGUCCGGUGACCUCAUCGCAUCAGCGCGCGGCGAUGCUGCAUCAUUUGUCAAUGAAGGAGCUACAGCUGGCGUCACAUGGUUGCUGCCACAGUGGGUUUGAACAACGAAGAGUCUGCCCCUCAGGACAGACCACCGCCAACAGGAGGCUAUUUCUGCCCGUGGGCGCCCCCCGGCUGAACCCCCCGUCGAGGACACCGUCGGUCGGGUCAAACCGGGAGACAGCGGAGGACCGGCGUCAUCGAGCAGGAGCCGCUCAAGGGUUAAUUAGACUUAUGGGAACGUUAUGGUGGUUGAAAUCGUGGAAUGUUAGAAGGGAACCGUGAACGCGUCGCCUGCAAAUCACCCCAGGUUUCUUAAGUGUGUGCGAAGUCCAGAUUGUGGAGACAUUCCUGCUCGCCUGACGCACACACAAAUGGAAACCUUUUUUUUUUUUGCCUUCAUCCAAACACUUGUUCUGACUAUACCAGCAGCUAUUUUUAGACGCACUCCAGUUCAUGCUUUACUGUUGUGAACAGACAAUGUGGCUUUUUUUCAUUUUUGUCUACAGCCUUUCAAUGUACAGCAUAAAAAGCCUGUAGAUCUAUUUAUUUGACUAUACUAUGAAAAUAUAUUUAGUCUCAGACAUAAAACAUUAGUAUUAUUUGUGUUACAGUAUUAUUACAAUAUAAUAUGUAGAAUUCUUUACCAGAAAUGAUGGAGAGAGACAGGCAGUGUUGACUGUCUACUAACGCUGAUGAUGGUGAAGGUGCCAGUGCCUCCAUCUGCAAAUGUUAAAGUGACUAAAGCAACUGUUGCAAGGAGUGAAGUAUCACUUUCAUCAUAAAUAAUCCGGCUGUAAAGUUUGAAAGCUCUGUGAUUUAUCACCUUGCACCCCAAAGAAAUAGUUUGAUUAACUGAUUUGAAUGUGAGUAAGCAAAACAUCUGUAUUUGCUCAAGUCCUCAGUAAACUCAGAUUGGUCUGAUUUAGUCUGACACCUUGGCUCAGAACCUCAGCUGGAGCUGUGUGCUGUACAUACCUGCACUUAGAUUCAUUUAAAUACGCGUUUCAUCCAGACCAUUGAUGGGGUCCGGUAUGAAACAGAUUUGAAAGAAGACUGAUCACAUUUUCAGAGUGUGAACACUGCCAACACUUGAGAGAAGUUAAACUCUCCGUCUGUGGUAUGCGUCAGUUCAACGUCCCUACGCGGGUUUGGAUGUGAAUGAGCUCUUUGAUGCUCAGAGAAACUUUAUCUGGGGAAAAAGACGUUUUGUCAAUUUUUUUUAUUCUGUCUCUGAAAAGUAAUUUGGCAGUCAGGACCUCACUGAUUGUCAGGACCUCAGUGAAGCAGCUCCAGUGCACAGUAGUCUUUCAACAGUGCAGUUGGAGUGUUUGGACCCGUCACUGGGUCCCUGUGUGGAUCAUGGCACAGCAUUAAAUAUAGUUAAUGAUGCAUAUGAUACAUAUUAUAUCUUUGUUUUAAAGUUGACAUUUAUCAAAUUUAGAAAUGUGGACUUUUUCAGGCUCCAGUUACUCAAAUGAAAGUUUAGCUGAAAACUGUAUUUUACUGAAUGAAUAUGUAUGUGUUGUUGUCUUUACAUUAUAGAUAAUGUAAAUGUAUAAGAAACUCUUACAGGUGCUCAUCUGUUCACCUUGUGUGGCCUAUUUACAAUAACGAUCUACCAGAACACAUGAAUCUUAUUUGUGCUCAUCUAUGGUGUUGGGUCUUUGAACGCCUCCCUGCAUGGUCAGUAAAUGCUACACGUCGGCCCCAGUCAGUCAGCAAACUACAGACAUGCUUUAAAAUGACCAUUUAAGAAGUCGACCACUCUGGGAAAACAAACUCUUCUUGAUAGAUUCCCAAAUACAUCGGAAUAACUGCAGAUAAGGCGUGUGCAAAGCAAACAUAUUUUGCUUUAUUAUGUCAUGCUGUGACGCGUUUUCCAUUUAAUCUAAGCAGUUGUUUUUAAUUGCUGUCAGAAUUAAUAUCCUGUGGAUACAAGAUAUGUUUGCUGGUUCUCACCAAGCUACAUGUUAAUAUGUAGCUUGUUAAUAUCUACUAUAACGCAUUAGUGCACUUCUGUCAACAUAUAUUAAUUUGAAUCAAUGUUUAUUCACAUUGACUUGUUUUGUUUUCACUCAGUUGUGUUGCGCCGCAGAAUCAAAACAGAUGAACCGCAGGGUUUUAUAAUCCACACUAGACGUGCGGUUUUAGCGCUGAGCUACAAUUGAAUCUAGCAACUAUUUUAACACGUUAUUUCAUCAUGACUUGUAUCAACUAAUGUACAGAAUGUGACUUUGUUAGCACAUUGUGACACCAGAGAUAAAUAUACACAUAAAUACUAGUCGGCCCCCAGAAUAGGACGCUUCCAAGAGGGUCCGCUCUGAAUAACUGAUGAAAACACUGUCAGAGGCCUCGAUGAACCAUGUGACUUCAUGUUUACACACGAGAGAUGUUGAUGAAAGAGAACCAGUGAUUAAAAAUACAUGAUGUGUAAUGAUUUGUCUUAAUAGGAUUUAAGACACGAGGGAACGCAA
Molecule: long non-coding RNA, 4003 nt
Organism: Betta splendens (Siamese fighting fish)
Lineage: Eukaryota; Metazoa; Chordata; Actinopteri; Anabantiformes; Osphronemidae
Exons: 2
Source: RefSeq, a predicted model, not a curated record